UGGGGAAUUUUGCGCAAUGGGCGAAAGCCUGACGCAGCAACGCCGCGUGGAGGAUGAAGGCCUUCGGGUCGUAAACUCCUGUCAGUGGGGACGAAUGCUUCGCAAGAAGUUUGACUGUACCCGCUGAGGAAGCCACGGCUAACUCCGUGCCAGCAGCCGCGGUAAUACGGAGGUGGCAAGCGUUGUUCGGAAUUACUGGGCGUAAAGGGCGCGUAGGCGGCAUUGCAAGUCAGAUGUGAAAGCCCCGGGCUUAACCCGGGAACUGCAUCUGAAACUGCUUUGCUUGAGUCCUGGAGGGGAUAGUGGAAUUCCCAGUGUAGCGGUGAAAUGCGUAGAUAUUGGGAGGAACACCUGCGGCGAAGGCGGCUAUCUGGACAGUGACUGACGCUGAGGCGCGAAAGCUAGGGGAGCGAACGGG
Molecule: ribosomal RNA, 418 nt
Filed under: uncultured Acidobacteriota bacterium
Lineage: Bacteria; Pseudomonadati; Acidobacteriota
Description: bacterial SSU rRNA
Rfam family: Bacterial small subunit ribosomal RNA
Source: RNAcentral